GACGAACCGUGCGAACGUUGUUCGGAAUCACUGGGCUUAAAGGGCGCGUAGGCGGCCUGCCAAGUCAGGGGUGAAAGCCCCCAGCUCAACUGGGGAAGUGCCUUUGAUACUGAGGAUCUUGAGUCCGGGAGAGGUGAGUGGAACUGCGAGUGUAGAGGUGAAAUUCGUAGAUAUUCGCAAGAACACCAGUGGCGAAGGCGGCUCACUGGCCCGGUACUGACGCUGAGGCACGAAAGCGUGGGGAGCAAACAGG
Molecule: ribosomal RNA, 253 nt
Filed under: uncultured bacterium
Lineage: Bacteria
Description: partial 16S ribosomal RNA
Rfam family: Bacterial small subunit ribosomal RNA
Source: RNAcentral